CCAGCAGCUGCGGUAAUUCCAGCUCCAAUAGCGUAUAUUAAAGUUGUUGCGGUUAAAAAGCUCGUAGUUGGAUUUCUGUCUGGAAGACCCGCCAACCUCACGGUUCGUGCGUGUGUUGACCAAGACAUCCUCCAGUGACACGGCCCUUCCGGGGUACAACUGGACUAUUACUUUGAGGAAAUUAGAGUGUUUCAAGCAGGCACAUGCCUUGAAUACAUUAGCAUGGAAUAAUAAUCUAGGACUUCGGUUCUAUUUUGUUGGUUUCUAGAGCUGAAGUAAUGAUUAAUAGGAACAGUCGGGGGCAUUCGUACUCAACAGUCAGAGGUGAAAUUCUUGGAUUUGUUGGAGAC
Molecule: ribosomal RNA, 350 nt
Filed under: uncultured eukaryote
Lineage: Eukaryota
Description: SSU rRNA
Rfam family: Eukaryotic small subunit ribosomal RNA
Source: RNAcentral